Molecule: microRNA precursor, 94 nt
Filed under: Canis lupus familiaris (dog)
Lineage: Eukaryota; Metazoa; Chordata; Mammalia; Carnivora; Canidae
Also listed under: 1 other name
Description: mir-8799 microRNA precursor family
Rfam family: mir-8799 microRNA precursor family
Source: Rfam by way of RNAcentral
GGGGUGAGCACCGGAUCUUGGUCUGUGUCCCCCAGCGCCCUGCCCUCUGAGGCCUGCGCUGCUGGAGUCACGCUCCUGGGCUGCACAGCUCCCU